AUUGAACGCUGGCGGUAUGCCUAACACAUGCAAGUCGAACGGCAGCACAGUAAGAUCUUGCUCUUACGGGUUGCGAGUCGCGUACGGAUUACAUCUAAAUCUGUCUCUACUUUUUCGUGGGGCAUACCGAAGCCGAACUAACACUAAUACCGCAUACCGCCUACGGGUGAAAGCAGGUGAUCUUCGGCCCUUGCGCGUUUGACUGAGCCGAUGUCGGAUUAGCUAGUUGGUGGGGUAAAGGCCCACCAAGGCGACGAUCCGUAGCUGGUCUGAGAGGAUGACCAGCCACACUGGGACUGAGACACGGCCCAGACUCCUACGGGAGGCAGCAGUGGGGAAUGUUGGACAAUGGGCGAAAGCCUGAUCCAGCAAUGCCGCGUGUGUGAAGAAGGCCUUCGGGUUGUAAAGCACUUUUGUCCGGAAAGAAAUCCUUGGCUCUAAUACAGUCGGGGGAUGACGGUACCGGAAGAAUAAGCACCGGCUAACUACGUG
This 492-nucleotide ribosomal RNA is filed under the name uncultured bacterium. RNAcentral describes it as "partial 16S ribosomal RNA". It matches the Rfam family "Bacterial small subunit ribosomal RNA", at positions 30 to 507 of the family's 1533-position model. The record is from RNAcentral.